CCUAAAUGCAGUCGAACGAAGCCCUCGGGCUUAGUGGCGGACGGGUGAGUAACGCGUGAGAAUCUCCCUUCAGGAUGGGGACAACCGUUGGAAACGACGGCUAAUCCCCAAUGUGCCGAAAGGUGAAAAGGGUUUCCGCCUGAAGAAGAGCUCGCGUCCGAUUAGUUAGUUGGUGAGGUAAGAGCUUACCAAGGCAGCGAUCGGUAGCUGGUCUGAGAGGAUGAGCAGCCACACUGGGACUGAGACACGGCCCAGACUCCUACGGGAGGCAGCAGUGGGGAAUUUUCCGCAAUGGGCGAAAGCCUGACGGAGCAACGCCGCGUGUGGGAAGAAGGCUCUUGGGCUGUCAACCACUUUUCUCAGGGAAGAAGACCUGACGGUACCUGAGGAAUCAGCCUCGGCUAACUCCGUGCCAGCAGCCGCGGUAAUACGGAGGAGGCAAGCGUUAUCCGGAAUUAUUGGGCGUAAAGCGUCCGCAGGGGGCGCAUCAAGUCUGCUGUUAAAGGUCGGAGCUUAACUCCGGUAGAGCAGUGGAAACUGGUGCGCUAGAGGGCGACAGGGGUAGAGGGAAUUCCCAGUGUAGCGGUGAAAUGCGUAGAGAUUGGGAAGAACACCGGUGGCGAAAGCGCUCUACUGGGUCGCACCUGACCCUCAGGGACGAAAGCUAAGGUAGCGAAAGGGAUUAGAUACCCCUGUAGUCUUAGCCGUAAACGAUGGAUACUAGGCGUGGCUUGUAUCGACCCAAGCCGUGCCGAAGCUAACGCGUUAAGUAUCCCGCCUGGG
This 783-nucleotide ribosomal RNA is filed under the name uncultured cyanobacterium. Its description in RNAcentral is "bacterial SSU rRNA". It matches the Rfam family "Bacterial small subunit ribosomal RNA", at positions 50 to 877 of the family's 1533-position model. The record is from RNAcentral. Lineage: Bacteria; Bacillati; Cyanobacteriota.